RNAcentral lists this ribosomal RNA (398 nucleotides) under Neocallichirus angelikae. RNAcentral's name for it is "partial small subunit ribosomal RNA". Lineage: Eukaryota; Metazoa; Arthropoda; Malacostraca; Decapoda; Callianassidae. The record is from RNAcentral.
AUCUCCAGUUGUAAUCUCCAACACCCGAAGUAUUUAAAGUUAUGGUCUCUAAAUUUUAAGAAUUUGGCAAUGACCAACAGAGGAAGCUCUUUGGUAACCGAUAGUCCACACAGAAUCUUACCGCUUUUCAAAAUUUGUAUACCAUCAUUAUUAGAUAACUCUUAGAGGAAAAAGUUAUUUCAGUAAGAAAAAUAUUACUUAGUAUAUUAGAUCAAGGUGCAGUCUAUAAAGAGGUCAGAAUGGGUUACAAGAAAACUUACUAUGGAUAAAGAGCUUAAACACUCUUUUCAAGAAGGAUUUAGUAGUAAUAACAGUUUGAUAAGCUGGUAUGAUAAAAGAUCUAGAUUGAGUACACAUCACCCGUCACUUUUAUCCAAAAAUGACAUGUCGUAACAUAG